Molecule: transfer RNA, 87 nt
Filed under: Gammaproteobacteria bacterium
Lineage: Bacteria; Pseudomonadati; Pseudomonadota; Gammaproteobacteria
Also listed under: 2 other names
Description: tRNA-Leu
Rfam family: tRNA
About the family: Transfer RNA (tRNA) molecules are approximately 80 nucleotides in length. Their secondary structure includes four short double-helical elements and three loops (D, anti-codon, and T loops).
Source: RNAcentral
GCCGGGGUGGCGGAACUGGUAGACGCGCCAGACUCAAAAUCUGGUAUGGGUAACCAUGUGAGAGUUCGAGUCUCUCUCCCGGCACCA